AGAGCGCAGGGAGGAUGCCUUGGCAUCAGGAGCCGAAGAAGGACGCGGUAAGCUGCGAUAAGCUCCGGGGAGUGGCAAGCACACUUUGAUCCGGGGAUUUCCGAAUGGAGCAAUCCACAUGGGUGUCGCCCAUGUAUCAUACACUGAAUAAAUAGGUGUAUGAGGGGAACCGUCUGAACUGAAACAUCUAAGUAGGACGAGGAAAAGAAAUCAACCGAGAUUCCGCUAGUAGUGGCGAGCGAACGCGGAGGAGGCUAAACCAUAGUCAGCAAUGAUUGUGGGGUUUGGACUGCAUUUAGUAUCAAUAAGAUCUAGUCGAAGUACAUGGGAAGGUACAUCGAAGAGGGUGAGAAUCCCGUAGACGAAAGGUCGAGUUGGCGAGCAGUAUCCAGAGUACCGCCGGACACGUGAAACCCGGUGGGAACAUGGGGGGACCAUCCUCCAAGCCUAAAUACUACCUGAUGACCGAUAGCGCAUAGUACUGUGAAGGAAAGGUGAAAAGAACCCCGGGAGGGGAGUGAAAGAGAACCUGAAACCCUGUGUCUACAAGCUGUGGAAGCACUUUAUAUGUGCGACCGCGUACUUUUUGUAGAACGGUCCGGCGAGUUACGCUUACUGGCAAGGUUAAGCACUUCAGGUGCGGAGCCGUAGGGAAACCAAGUCUUAAGAGGGCCUUAAGUCAGUAGGAGUAGACCCGAAACCGGGUGAUCUAUCCAUGUCCAGGUUGAAGCUGCCGUAAGAGGUAGUGGAGGACCGAACCCACAUCCGUUGAAAAGGGUGGGGAUGAGGUGUGGAUAGGGGAGAAAUUCCAAUCGAACCCGGAGAUAGCUGGUUCUCCUCGAAAUAGCUUUAGGGCUAGCCUCAUGGAUCAUUGGUGGGGGUAGAGCACUGAAUGUGCGCGGGGGCCACAAAGCCUACCAAACGCUAUCAAACUUCGAAUACCAUACAAUGCAGACCAUGGGAGUCAGUCCGCGAGAGAUAAGUUCCGCGGGCAAAAGGGGAACACCCCAGAUCAACCGCUAAGGUCCCCAAGUUCACGUUAAGUGGAGAAGGAUGUGGAAUUGCACAGACAACCAGGAUGUUGGCUCAGAAGCAGCCACACAUUUAAAGAGUGCGUAAUAGCUCACUGGUCGAGUGAUUGUGCGCCGAAGAUGUCCGGGGCUAAACGUGACACCGAAGCGAUGGGUGCAUCUGAAGAAGAUGCGCGGUAGAGGAGCAAUGUGCAGAGGCAGAAGCCGUAUCGAGAGGCACGGUGGACACUGCACAAGAGAGAAUGCCGGUAUGAGUAGCGAGAGGCAUGCGAGAAACAUGCCCGUCGAAAGCCCAAGGUUUCCUGGGGAAGGUUCAUCCGCCCAGGGUAAGUCGGGGCCUAAGCCGAGGACGGAAGUCGUAGGCGAUGGACAGCAGGUGUAGAUUCCUGCACUACCGAUGGAAUGAAGCAGUGACACAGAAGGAUAACUCGAGCAGGGUGAUGGUCAACCCUGUGCAAGCAUCAAGGUUGGGUUGUAGUGAAGUACGCAACCCUAUAAGCUGAGGUGUGAUGCGGACCGAAAUUUCAGUAGGGAAGCGAGUGAGUUCACGCUGGCGAGAAAAGCUGCUAGUACAUCCAAAGGUACCCGUACCGGAAACCGACGCAGGUGGGCGAGGAGAGAAUCCUGAGACGAACGGGAGAACCCUUGUUAAGGAACUCGGCAAAAUGACCCCGUAACUUCGGGAUAAGGGGAGCCUCGGAAGAGGCCGCAGAGAAUAGGCCCAAGCGACUGUUUAGCAAAAACACAGGUCUGUGCGAAGUAGAGAUACGACGUAUACGGGCUGACGCCUGCCCAGUGCCGGAAGGUUAAGGGGAAGUGUUAGGGCAACCGAAGCACGGAACUUAAGCCCCGGUGAACGGCGGCCGUAACUAUAACGGUCCUAAGGUAGCGAAAUUCCUUGUCGGGUAAGUUCCGACCCGCACGAAUGGUGUAACGACUUGUGAGCUGUCUCAACAGGGGGCCCGGUGAAAUUGAAGUAUGGGUGAAGAUGCCCAUUACCCGCGACUGGACGGAAAGACCCCGUAGAGCUUUACUGCAGCCUGAUAUUGAGUUUCGGUAACUGAUGCACAGGAUAGGUGGGAGUCUGAGAGACAUGGGUUUCGGCUCGUGUGGAGACGAUGUUGGGAUACCACUCUUCGGUUACUGAAAUUCUAACAUAGCUCUGUGAAACCAGAGGAUGGACAGUGUCAGGUGGACAGUUUGACUGGGGCGGUCGCCUCCGAAAGAGUAACGGAGGCGCCCAAAGGUACCCUCAGAAUGGAUGGAAACCAUUCGAAGAGAGCAAAGUCAGAAGGGUGCUUGACUGCGAGACCAACAAGUCGAGCAGGUACGAAAGUAGGGCUUAGUGAUCCGGCGGUAAGAGAGUGGAAUUGCCGUCGCUCAACGGAUAAAAGCUACCUCGGGGAUAACAGGCUGAUCUCCCCCAAGAGUCCACAUCGACGGGGAGGUUUGGCACCUCGAUGUCGGCUCGUCGCAUCCUGGGGCUG
Molecule: ribosomal RNA, 2518 nt
Filed under: human gut metagenome
Description: bacterial LSU rRNA
Rfam family: Bacterial large subunit ribosomal RNA
Source: RNAcentral